RNAcentral lists this ribosomal RNA (447 nucleotides) under Agabus rufulus. RNAcentral describes it as "partial 16S ribosomal RNA". The stretch from base 324 to 447 matches the Rfam family "Bacterial large subunit ribosomal RNA", at positions 2473 to 2597 of the family's 2925-position model. The record is from RNAcentral. Lineage: Eukaryota; Metazoa; Arthropoda; Insecta; Coleoptera; Dytiscidae.
UUGACUGUGCAAAGGUAGCAUAAUCAUUAGUUUUUUAAUUAAAAGCUUGUAUGAAGGGUUGGACGAGAUAAAUUCUGUCUCUAUUUAAUUAAAUUUAGAAUUUAAUUUUUAAGUUAAAAAGCUUAAAUUUUUUUAAAAGACGAGAAGACCCUAUAGAUCUUUAUAUUAGAAAUAUUAAUUUUAAUUAGGAAUAUUUUAUAUUUUAUUAUUAAUAAUAUUUUAUUGGGGUAAUAAAAAGAUUUAAUUAAUUCUUUUUUUAUUUAAACAUUAAUAAAUGAUUAUAUGAUCCAUUUUUAUUGAUUAAAAGAUUAAGUUACCUUAGGGAUAACAGCGUAAUUUUUUUAGAGAGUUCAUAUCGAUAAAAAAGUUUGCGACCUCGAUGUUGGAUUAAAAAUUAUCUUAGGUGUAGAAUUUUAAGAUUUUGGUCUGUUCGACCAUUAAAUUUUU